UACGUAGGCAGCAGGCGUUGUUCGGAGUUACUGGGCGUAAAGAGUGCGUAGGUGGUGCCCUAAGUCUGUUGUGAAAUCUCCCGGCUUAACUGGGAGGGUGCGGUGGAAACUGGGGUGCUUGAGUGUGGGAGAGGUAAGCGGAAUUCCUGGUGUAGCGGUGAAAUGCGUAGAUAUCAGGAGGAACACCGGUGGUGUAGACGGCUUACUGGACCACGACUGACACUGAGGCACGAAAGCGUGGGUAGCAAACAGG
This 253-nucleotide ribosomal RNA is filed under the name uncultured bacterium. Its description in RNAcentral is "partial 16S ribosomal RNA". It matches the Rfam family "Bacterial small subunit ribosomal RNA", at positions 524 to 776 of the family's 1533-position model. The record is from RNAcentral.